Molecule: long non-coding RNA, 732 nt
Filed under: Helianthus annuus (common sunflower)
Lineage: Eukaryota; Viridiplantae; Streptophyta; Magnoliopsida; Asterales; Asteraceae
Description: sRNA HanXRQr2_Chr14g0638531
Source: RNAcentral
UCGUCCUGAACCCCAACGCCAGGCUUACCGUCGCACACAUCUGCCUCCAACCAACCUCCACCUCCAUCACCACUUCCUCGUUGCUGGUUCCGACCACCACGCGCCCUCAACCGUCUUCUCCAACCACACCGGGACCACUACGCACCACCGUUCGCCCUCACCUUCGCCGCCGGUCUCCGACAUCAGGUCUUAAGUUGUGGUUAGCCUUUUAAGGAUUACCUGUUGAAAAUGAGGAGCCUCUGGUAAGCGUCCAAGAGUGUUUAGUACCUAUGAAAUUGGUGAAUCAUCACAUAGCAGUCGUUUGCGUAGGGUAUCAAGAAUGUUAGAGCCAGUGACAGGUGGUCGACACGCGUCAUCUCAGGAAGAACGCACCCCGCUUCCUACAUAUUUCCGAGCUCCAUGGCAUUGAGAUUUGAAAGUGGCUUUAUGAUUCUUGGGGCCUGGGUCUCAUAAAAGCGAUUAUCAUUAGUUGGCUAACAGUUCUGAAAGUCAUCUUUUUGGGUAUUAAUUGCAUCUGUUGAUUAUUUUUGAAUGGUGAUAAAUUUUGUGGUGUUUCAUUUCUUCAAAGGAAGCUUUUAAUUUGGGCCGGUCAAUCAUCGUUGACUUCAACGAUUGUGAAAAGUGGCCACGAUGUGCGAACAUAGAAGGUAGGAGGCAAAAGACAGGGUCACGAUACUAAAGAUGACUUAAUUUGGAUUUACUCUCUUACUGUAUAUGUAUGGAUUGGUUUCU